Long non-coding RNA from Daktulosphaira vitifoliae (grape phylloxera), 1933 nucleotides. RefSeq lists it as uncharacterized. NCBI's taxonomy places the organism in Eukaryota, Metazoa, Arthropoda, Insecta, Hemiptera, Phylloxeridae. The record is from RefSeq and is a predicted model, not a curated record. The transcript is spliced from 4 exons.
AUAUAAUCUUCGCAUAAUAUCGCGGCACUAUCGCUGGCGUAGACGACGCGAUGUCCGGAGUGAUCCUCGGGUGUCAAAAGGUUAGCAGCGUUGAUGACGACGGUGCGCGAGUGCGGAUCGGUUCGUCGACGUUGUCACUUUGACAAUGGGAAGAAGACUGCGGUAUUAUUUGCGGCGGGACGUCGUCGGCCGUGCGGCACUUCCUGGACUUUGCACCGCGGCAUAUAACGCAGAAUGUUGGUCAGUCAAAUACUCAUAGUAUGGCGACGGCUGAUAAAGGUGGCACGAGUCGCGGGGCAUUGUGUAUAACGAAGCGAUGCGGGGCCGUAUCAGUCAAAAUAAAAAUUUAUUGUAUGUAUAUAUAUUGAUAACACGCGUGCGUCUACGGAUUAGAAAAUAUUGUUUUCGUUGAGUGGUGAGCGGGGUGGGGUGAAUGUGUUACGACCGUCUAGUCUCAAGGCCGUAGACACGUGGCGAGUGAAAAGUUACAAACAACUCACAAACAUACAGGUGAAACUAAUAUAAGCGUGUUAAUAAAAAACUAGAUUUUGUGUUUCAUCUAUAAGUUACAAAAAAUACAUGUACCAAUAAGUUCAUUACCCUAUGUUAAUAGCACAUAAUUAGUCGUGUAUCUUUGUAUAAAUAAUUGGCGAUUUUUACUCAUAAUUUAAUAGUUGAUGAAACACAAAUUUGAAAUAAUUAGUUCCAUUAAAAAUGUUUUCGUGUUAUAAACGUGAAAAAACUUUUUCUGUUAAAAGAAGUUUUAGUGAGACAUCAAAUAAAACACGAUGAUGUGAGAAUUCCAUGUCAUUUAUGUAGUUCAACAUUUUUAGAAAAAUAUGAAUUGGUGCAUCACGCUAAAAAAAAACACCAUCUUGCAACGCAUGGAAUUCACGAUAGGAAAUCACGCUGAUUGAGGAACUUUAAUGUCAUGUGGAAAUGAGAACGUUGUCAUACAAUUGAGUACUAGUGGAAUGAUUUGGAAGUGACAUGCAAUUUCUUAUAAUUAUAAUACAGUUAGGAAUAAAUGAACUAAACAAAAACGAUUGGAUGAUUGUACAUCAAAUAAUUUUCAACUAAUAAGUUCAUCGUUGAAAAUAUUUUAUAUUAUAAAAAAAAUUAGGAUAAAUUGAUGGUUAUCAAUAACUUUUAUUUCUGAUAAAAAACAAAUUGAUGAAAAAAUUAAAAGAAUGUUUAGUAAACUUUAAUGCUAUAAAUUUCAAUUUGAGAUUAGAAGUCGCCUAUCAUAUACCCCAUCAGGAUAACACAAAGGAAAUUUGUUAGUUAAAACUAACACUGUGAAAUUAUUUGACGGCAGAAUUAUCGAGGAGAUUGUUAAAAUUGAACUCGAAAAAUUAUAUGACGAGCAUGAAAACUACGCGGGGAAGGGGAGCAAUUACAAAUAUACUCAACUGUCUGCAAACUCGUAUAUCAAUUUGCAAAGCGUUAUAAAAAUAAAAAAUCCGUUAUAAAUUCCCAAAAUAUUGAUAAUUUAUUUUUUAAAAGGAUGGCAUUAACCAAAAAAAUAAAGGUGAAUCACAUUAAUAUUGUCGGUAAUAAAUAAUUAUAAAUCAUUAAAACACGACUAUGAUUUUACCGGAAUAAAAUUUCCAACACCUUUGGAUGAAAUUAAAACAUUUGAAAAAAAUAAUUAAAGGACACCUGUUAAUGUUUAAGAGUUGAAGGCUAUAAAAAUUAGCGAUACAAUGAAAUUCGAGCAUUUAGUAUACCCAUUAAAAGUGAUCGAUGAAGAACAAGAGAACCAAUAUAGGUUAAUUACUAUUAUCUAACACUGUUGGUAGUAAUCAUUACGCAUACAUUUCGGUAGAUUGGUUUAAAGUAAGUCAGAUGAACAAAAAUAAUUAAAAAAUUAUUUUUUGUAAAGAUGCUUUUCAGGCUUCAAUUUUAUAGUAAAAAAUAUAAAUUAUAUGAA